GGGCCUGUGGCGCAGUUGGUAGCGCGCCUCGUUCGCAAUGAGGAGGUCAGGGGUUCAAUUCCCCUCAGGUCCACAA
This 76-nucleotide transfer RNA is filed under the name Microbacteriaceae bacterium BACL25 MAG-120322-bin65. Its description in RNAcentral is "tRNA-Ala". It matches the Rfam family "tRNA". From Rfam's summary of the family: Transfer RNA (tRNA) molecules are approximately 80 nucleotides in length. Lineage: Bacteria; Bacillati; Actinomycetota; Actinomycetes; Micrococcales; Microbacteriaceae. The record is from RNAcentral.